AUGCCACCAGGCCUGGCUAAUUUUUUAUAUUUUUGGUAGAGAUGGUGGGGGUUUCACCCUGUUGCUCAGGCUAGUCUCAAACUCCUGAAUGCAAGCGAUCCACCCACCUCAGCCUCCCAAACUGCUGGGAUUACAGGCAUGAGCCACCAUGCCAAGGCUAAGAUAUUAUUUUUUUUAAUUUAUUUAUGUAUUUUAGAGCUGAGGUCUUGCUCUCUUGCCCAGGCUGGAGUGCAGUGGCAUGAUCAUGGCUCAAUGCAGCUUCGAAUUCCUGGCUCAAGCAAUCCUCCCACCUCAGCCUCCCAAGUAGCUGGGACUACAAGUGCACACCACCACACCUGGCUAAUUUUUUAUUUGUAUUUUGUGUAGAGACCGGGUUUUGCCAUGUUGCACAAGCUGGUCUCAAACUCCUGGGCUCAAGCCAUCCUUUCACCUCAGCCUCCCAAAGUGCUGGGAUUAGAGAUACCAGUUGCUAU
RNAcentral lists this long non-coding RNA (473 nucleotides) under Homo sapiens (human). RNAcentral's name for it is "non-protein coding lnc-RDH8-4:1". The record is from RNAcentral. Lineage: Eukaryota; Metazoa; Chordata; Mammalia; Primates; Hominidae.